UUUAAAUGUAAAUUUUUGAACUAAAUUAGUAAUAGAUAUGAUCUUCAAAUUUAAAGAUUUUGGCGGUAUUUUAGUCUAUUCAGAGGAACCUGUUCUGUAAUUGAUAAUCCACGAUUAACUUUACUUAAUUUUAAAAAUUUGUAUAUCGUUGUUUAUAGAAAAUUUUAAAAGAAAAAUAAUUUUUAAUAAAUUUAAUUAAAUUUUAAAUCAAAUCAAGGUGCAGUUUAUAAUUAAGUUAGAAAUGGGUUACAAUAAAUUUAUUUAUUAAUGAAUAUAAAUUUUAAAAUUUUUAUUGAAGGUGGAUUUGAUAGUAAUAUUGUUAAAUUAAAUAAUAUGAUUUUAGCUCUAAAAUAUGU
This 356-nucleotide ribosomal RNA is filed under the name Gyrinus sp. KBMGysp492. Its description in RNAcentral is "partial 12S ribosomal RNA". The record is from RNAcentral. Lineage: Eukaryota; Metazoa; Arthropoda; Insecta; Coleoptera; Gyrinidae.